RNAcentral lists this ribosomal RNA (492 nucleotides) under uncultured bacterium. Its description in RNAcentral is "partial 16S ribosomal RNA". It matches the Rfam family "Bacterial small subunit ribosomal RNA", at positions 29 to 507 of the family's 1533-position model. The record is from RNAcentral.
AGUGAACGCUGGCGGUAGGCCUAACACAUGCAAGUCGAACGGCAGCACAGUAAGAGCUUGCUCUUACGGGUGGCGAGUGGCGGACGGGUGAGGAAUACAUCGGAAUCUACUUUUUCGUGGGGGAUAACGUAGGGAAACUUACGCUAAUACCGCAUACGACCUACGGGUGAAAGCAGGAGAUCUUCGGACCUUGCGCGAUUGAAUGAGCCGAUGUCGGAUUAGCUAGUUGGCGGGGUAAAGGCCCACCAAGGCGACGAUCCGUAGCUGGUCUGAGAGGAUGAUCAGCCACACUGGAACUGAGACACGGUCCAGACUCCUACGGGAGGCAGCAGUGGGGAAUAUUGGACAAUGGGCGCAAGCCUGAUCCAGCCAUACCGCGUGGGUGAAGAAGGCCUUCGGGUUGUAAAGCCCUUUUGUUGGGAAAGAAAAACAGCAGGUUAAUACCCCGCUGUUCUGACGGUACCCAAAGAAUAAGCACCGGCUAACUUCGUG